Molecule: unclassified non-coding RNA, 438 nt
Filed under: Hevea brasiliensis (rubber tree)
Lineage: Eukaryota; Viridiplantae; Streptophyta; Magnoliopsida; Malpighiales; Euphorbiaceae
Source: RNAcentral
AAAAGGUCAAGGAUAAGACCUAGGCUUCAGUAGUCUUUUUUUUUUAUUAAUUCAGGAGCAAAUUCAUUAUUCAUAUGUCAGGCUUGAAUUAAACUUGAUCAAUCCACCUCGGUAAGUCACGUUGCAAAGUUAAUGGCUGCUUGUGGGUAAUAAACAAUUGGAACCUAUUGCAAAAUGUAGUAGCUAAUGACCAAAUUGACAAUAUAAGAAGAACGCAGCUGAAUUGCAUAUUUGAGAAAGGUAUAGGAACAAAAUUGACCGACUCUUUCCCUCUCCUUCUCUCUCCCCCCCAACCCCAUCUUGACUCUCUUUUCUUCCUAUCUCUCUUUGAAUUCAUGCACGUAACUGAAUUAGUCUAAAUUUGCUUUUAAAUUUGGAGUUUCACAAAAAACAUUUUAUCUGAGUUGAAGUUGUGGUCUUUAUACGCUGAGGAGUUGG